This 465-nucleotide ribosomal RNA is filed under the name uncultured bacterium. RNAcentral describes it as "partial 16S ribosomal RNA". It matches the Rfam family "Bacterial small subunit ribosomal RNA", at positions 338 to 795 of the family's 1533-position model. The record is from RNAcentral.
CCUACGGGGGGCUGCAGUGGGGAAUUUUGGACAAUGGGCGCAAGCCUGAUCCAGCUAUUCCGCGUGUGGGAUGACGGCCUUCGGGUUGUAAACCACUUUUGUAGAGAACGAAAAGUCUGUUGAUAAUACCGAUAGAUGAUGACGGUACUCUAAGAAUAAGCACCGGCUAACUACGUGCCAGCAGCCGCGGUAAUACGUAGGGUGCGAGCGUUAAUCGGAAUUACUGGGUGUAAAGGGUGUGCAGGCGGUUUUGCAAGAUGGAUGUGAAAGCCCCGGGCUUAACCUGGGAAAGCCAUACAUGACUGCAAGACUAGAGUGCGUCAGAGGGGGGUGGAAUUCCAAGUGUAGCAGUGAAAUGCGUAGAUAUUUGGAAGAACACCGAUGGCGAAGGCAGCCCCCUGGGACGCAACUGACGCUGAGGCACGAAAGUGCGGGGAUCGAACAGGAUUAGAUACCCGGGUAGUC